This 378-nucleotide unclassified non-coding RNA is filed under the name rhizosphere metagenome. RNAcentral describes it as "partial ribosomal RNA internal transcribed spacer region". The record is from RNAcentral.
GUAGGUGAACCUGCGGAAGGAUCAUUAACACGUAUCCAACGUUAAACCCCCCUGUGAACCUUCAGUGUGUCUCUCCUGCCUCGUUGAACGCCCAGCAAUCCCUGGUAAAUCAUUGCCGAACAGUUUUGAUUCAGGGACCUCUGGUAGAGGCGGCUAGAGCGCGAUGCAAGUGGCCUGGCAUUCCUCUGCUUGUUAGUGUCUGAAAGUGUCACUAGCUCUGUACGGAUGGCGCAGUAACGAUCGCUAGAGGCCGACACGGCCGGCGACCGGGUCACUGGGACUAGAUCCCCCUAAUCACCUUUGCAUGAAAACGGGCCUGCGCUUAAUUGUGCGGCCACCAAACUCGAACAACUGUUAACAAUGGAUAUCUUGGUUCUC